GACGAACGCUGGCGGCGUGCUUAACACAUGCAAGUCGUACGGUAAGGCCCUUUCGGGGGUACACGAGUGGCGAACGGGUGAGUAACACGUGAGUAACCUGCCCACAACUUUGGGAUAACGCUAGGAAACUGGUGCUAAUACUGGAUAUGUGCUCCUGCUGCAUGGUGGGGGUUGGAAAGCUCCGGCGGUUGUGGAUGGACUCGCGGCCUAUCAGCUUGUUGGUGGGGUAGUGGCCUACCAAGGCGGCGACGGGUAGCCGGCCUGAGAGGGUGACCGGCCACAUUGGGACUGAGAUACGGCCCAGACGCCUACGGGAGGCAGCAGUGGGGAAUAUUGCACAAUGGGCGCAAGCCUGAUGCAGCAACGCCGCGUGCGGGAUAACGGCCUUCGGGUUGUAAACCGCUUUCAGCAGGGACGAAGCUUUUUGUGACGGUACCUGCAGAAGAAGCACCGGCUAACUACGUG
RNAcentral lists this ribosomal RNA (465 nucleotides) under uncultured bacterium. RNAcentral's name for it is "partial 16S ribosomal RNA". It matches the Rfam family "Bacterial small subunit ribosomal RNA", at positions 28 to 507 of the family's 1533-position model. The record is from RNAcentral.